This is a long non-coding RNA of Acanthochromis polyacanthus (spiny chromis), 567 nucleotides long. RefSeq lists it as uncharacterized. NCBI's taxonomy places the organism in Eukaryota, Metazoa, Chordata, Actinopteri, Pomacentridae. The record is from RefSeq and is a predicted model, not a curated record. The transcript is spliced from 3 exons.
UAUAUCAACUUUCAUUAUAUAUAUAUCAAAUCUUUUUUUCCUACCGAGCCCCGGAAGGGACAUGUCCGUAUGGCGAAGCGACAAUGAAGGACACUCACCCGGACGAGAAUUUUAUUGAGUUUUAUUUUGAAAUCGGCCUGAAAUACACAGACAUUCAAGCAGUGCGAUGCGCUAAGAGUCUGCCAUGCAGACCAGCGAUCCUGAUAAUGUUGUCGGCCUUGGAUGAUGAGGUCCAGUUACCAGGAGCACUAGUCUGCAGCUUACUGGUUCCGUCCUGCAGCUCCUCCACGCUGUCCUCCUCUCUACAGACCAAAUCAAGAAAAGGGAACCAGGAAGCUGCUGUGGAUCCUCUGCAGUAUCUGGAGAGGUCAGAGGAACGGUUCUUGGAACAGAUCGGAAGACACCAAGACGUGACCUCUGCCAUUCUCCAGAACAUCCAGAAGAUGAAUGAAAACCUUGGUUGCACUGAUGGGACGCAUGGUGUCGGUGCUGGAGCAACUGUCCCAGAAUUAAACUGCAUUGUUGACUAUUGGCUUUUCUAGAAAAUAAAUCUUUUUUAGUACUUCA